RNAcentral lists this ribosomal RNA (253 nucleotides) under uncultured bacterium. RNAcentral's name for it is "partial 16S ribosomal RNA". It matches the Rfam family "Bacterial small subunit ribosomal RNA", at positions 524 to 776 of the family's 1533-position model. The record is from RNAcentral.
UACGAAGGGUGCUAGCGUUGUUCGGAAUCACUGGGCGUAAAGGGUGCGUAGGCGGCUAAACAAGUCAGAGGUGAAAGCCUGGAGCUUAACUCCAGAACUGCCUUUGAAACUGUUUGGCUAGAGUGUCGGAGGGGAUAGCGGAAUUGCUAAUGUAGCGGUGAAAUGCGUAGAUAUUAGCAGGAACACCGGUGGCGAAGGCGGCUAUCUGGACGACAACUGACGCUGAGGCACGAAAGCGUGGGGAUCAAACAGG